RNAcentral lists this long non-coding RNA (458 nucleotides) under Sus scrofa (pig). Its description in RNAcentral is "lncRNA (ENSSSCG00070002485.1)". Lineage: Eukaryota; Metazoa; Chordata; Mammalia; Artiodactyla; Suidae. The record is from RNAcentral.
AGAACAAGAAAUCUCUCCAACAGAAGCAUCUUCAAAUACAUGAAAAUGAGCACAUCCAAAGAAGUGACCAGUGUCCUGUGAUGUCUUUUGAUAAGACAAGUUGGAACUACUCUGUACAUUCACUCAGUAUUCAGAUCAGUGAUCCCUUUGAGUAAUGUCCAUAGUGUUAUGUUUUUGAGAGAUGACCAAUAGUCCUUACGUGUGGAAUUUGUGGAAGAAAAUAAAAACAAGCAAAAUGUAGCAACCUCCAGACCUGAAUGAGUUUGAUGAGAAAGCAUGGGAAGAAAUGCCAGGAGAAAACAGCAAAAUGCGAUAAGCUUUCAAUUGGCCUGGAAGGACACUGUGGCCCUGGGACAGAUGGACAGCCAUUCCUUCUGGUCUACGUUGCUGACACUGUCGGUCUGACAUUGGAGCUGUUCUGUCAACUGUGGAUUCUGCUGCCUGCAGUUUCCGAGUAG